GGGAAUGUGGCUCAGUGGUAGAGUGCUUGCCUAGCAUGCGUGAAUCCCUGGGUUCGAUUCCUCAGUACCA
This 70-nucleotide transfer RNA is filed under the name Dipodomys ordii (Ord's kangaroo rat). It matches the Rfam family "tRNA". Rfam says of the family: Transfer RNA (tRNA) molecules are approximately 80 nucleotides in length. Their secondary structure includes four short double-helical elements and three loops (D, anti-codon, and T loops). Further hydrogen bonds mediate the characteristic L-shaped molecular structure. tRNAs have two regions of fundamental functional importance: the anti-codon, which is responsible for specific mRNA codon recognition, and the 3' end, to which the tRNAs corresponding amino acid is attached (by aminoacyl-tRNA synthetases). tRNAs cope with the degeneracy of the genetic code in two manners: having more than one tRNA (with a specific anti-codon) for a particular amino acid; and 'wobble' base-pairing, i.e. permitting non-standard base-pairing at the 3rd anti-codon position. Lineage: Eukaryota; Metazoa; Chordata; Mammalia; Rodentia; Heteromyidae. The record is from Rfam by way of RNAcentral.